CUCUCCCCGGAUAGGGGCCCUGGAAUAUAUAAAAGGCUACUCAGGAGAUGGGGAGGCAAGUCGUAACUUGGAAAGUGUACCGGAAGGUGCACUUGAGAUA
Molecule: ribosomal RNA, 100 nt
Filed under: Melanotaenia goldiei (Goldie River rainbowfish)
Lineage: Eukaryota; Metazoa; Chordata; Actinopteri; Atheriniformes; Melanotaeniidae
Description: partial 12S ribosomal RNA
Source: RNAcentral